AAAAUUACUGUUCUUCAUUUAGUAAUAUAUAUUUGUAGCAAACCUAGAAUUUCCCUUACAAUUGAAGCUCAAAAAAUUUGCCUUCGCAAUACACCCAUCAAAUUCCAAUCAUUCAUUCACUCGUUAACGUCCAUAUACACAGAACUGCUCUUAUCCGAUAAAUGCAAGAUAUAUAUGUUUCUCAAAGGGAAAAAGGUCUCUUCCAAAAUGUACUUUCAGAACAGGUCAGCUAACUAUUGACACAAGUAACACUCAAUUUUUUUUCUUCUACAAUAUUUUGUGACAAAAGGCAUACCAAUGCUAAGAGGGAAAUGAAGAUUAGAAUCCAAUCAUAUGCAUAUGCCAACUAGAAAAAUGUAGAGAAAGGUGAAAAAAGAAGGGAGAAUAUUGGAAUUGAAGCAAAAGUACACAAGAUAAAACUAUAUGCAACCCUGAAAGAAUGUACAACAACAAUAUUGACUCGCUUGUGAGCAUCAUCUUUUGUUAGUUCCAGGGUGGGGAUGAUGGUCUAUAAAUAAAAUCUUGUGAUGAUGAUGUGCCGUAGUUCAAGUCAAGGUUGUGGAGCUGUUCCAUCAGCUGAGAACGCCUCUCCUUAAAGAAAUCAAGCCUUGUAUUUAAUUCUACCAAAGCUGCAGAAGCUGCCGACGGAUGUCUUGGAUAAUCCAUCAUCUCUAUUGCCCUUGAAGUGGAGGGAGCAGAAUCAACACCGCAGAACUCAUCCAUGGACAUGUUAGUGGAUGCCUCAGUGCUUUUAGAAUCAUUGAGGCUUGUUGAUUCCACAAAUUGCUUUCGCGGAGGUUGCCUGUUACUGCUGCCGGUUGCUAAUCCUGUUCCUUUAACAUUCCUCCAAUCUGCCUCCAACAAACUCUCCUUUGAUUCUCUAUCUCUAUAAUUCUUCUCCUACAUUGCCACCACUAAUGAUCUACAAAAUAACAACAAAUUUCAAACUGUUUCACCAAGAUAACCAAGAAAAGCAGAUUGUGGAAUCUUCUUGAACAACCAUGUGCAAGUUGGGAUUAGCUGUGGUUCUUUUCCUCUAUUUUACUCAGUUUAGGGCCACUUUUUCAGUAACAUAUAGUUAUACAACAUCCUAUCUUGAUCAUGUAAUCAAUCAUUGGUACACCUCAUAUCUUCUUUGUUAUUAUAACUUGGAUAUGCUCAAUAUACGUGUGCAUUUCAUUAGUUUACACAAGAAAUUGAAGUCAUCUUAAUCAAUCCUCCCUCAACUCAUCUUCAAUGAUUGCCAGUUCCUCCUUAGAGUGCACUCAUCCCUCAUACUGAUUAUGUUCCCAUACAGCUAACUUAGCAUCAGUCUCUUUGGUAUGCUCAUUUUACGGACAUGUUUCUUCACUGUCCAACAUUCCUAACAUUCAGCAUCAUAGAUCUUAGCAAACCAAAUUAGACUUUGUCUGGUUAGCUUAUUUUGGCUUUUCCUUUCCUUAUUUGGCUAUUUUGGAAGAUUUCCUUUUUUUCAAAUUAACAUAUGGUUAAACAACAGCAGGCGAUAUUUAUGUUUCAUUUGGUAAACUUGUGACAUUUUUUUUCCCUACUUUGUUAGUGUAUUUUCAAUAUCAAAGACAUUAAUGAAUUUUACAAUAAUAUUUUCCUGCUAUCACAAAAUACAAUAACAAAAUAUAACAAAAGUUUUAUCAAGUGUUAUUAUUAUUGCAUUUGUUUUCUAAUAAAAACAAAACUCGCAGAAAGUACUCUUUAGGGAUUUUAACACCACACAUGAAAGAUUUUAAUCUCAGUUGCGUCAGACAUAGCAGAUCCUAAACCCAAAUAAAGAAGGGUUAUACUUUGUAAUAUGUGACAACCAACAAAAAUUUUUCACAUCCUUAUGAUAUGAAUCCUAUUUAUCUUAAUGUCAAAUGAUCAUAAAGUUAAUCCCAUCAUACGAGGAUAUCAAUAAGCAAAGCAAGUUCAGUAUAGCUCAUUUAGAGCCAAACUGUAGUUCAACUGUUGUGACAUGAAAUCAUAAAGGAGAAACAAAAGAGAAGCUGACAAGAUUUAAAUCCUAAGCGGAAUAGAAAAUUAGAAUUCCCAACUUUGAAAAAGCAGAAAGAUGUAAUUAUAACUAUGCAAUAUCUAUUUUGUGAAGCUCUUAAAUGAAUGUUUCAAUUUACUUUAGUAAGGCGCUAUACAAUACCUCAGUUCUUUGUUUCCUUUCAUGAUUAACAAAAGCAAGGGUUGCAUCAAAAUCUUGCUGAAGAAAUCUCUGUUGAGUGCUAUGAUUUUGGACCUGUUGAUAAUGGUCACAUGCAUCAGAGAGGGAACCAUAAUGAUGCUGCCGUUGCUGAUUAAGUUGCUGGUGGAGUUCUGCAACUUUCUGUUUCAACCUGGCCACAUCUGCUUCAGCGAGAGCAAUCUCCUCAAGCUCAGCUCUCGUUUUGGAAUCCAUGCCCCGUGAGCUGGAGAACUGUCCGGAUGACAUGCUCAAGCCAACUUCCAGUGCAGCUCUAAGAUCUCUUUCAGCUUGAAGCUGCUCUUGCAACCUUGACACAUCUUGUUCAAGCGCCAACCGUCGCUCAUGCAAAGCUUGCUUCCUUCUCUCUAAGCUAGCUUGUAAAAUUGCAUUCCCUCGGGCCUAAACAGGCAACAUCAAAUCUUGUUAGACCUGAACGGACAUAUUCCAUAAUCAAGUAUAAACAGGUUUAAACAAAGUGAUUAGACCUCCUUUGCAAUCCUGUGUUUCAAGUCAUUUUUUGUGAUCUCAAGCCUCUGAAUAGCAAGCUCUUCUUCUCCAGAAAAAUCAACUGAUUCCACCGAUGGUGUCUUUCUGGCAUUACUUCUUCCCCAGAAUGUUGACCGCUUUCCGUUCAGAUUGGAGGUCGCAACUUUACCAGUUGGCUUCUCAGCAGAUGAAUCGAGCCCAGAUAUAGGUGAAGAAGGAACAGGAUCAAUUGAAGAUAGAAUUUCCCCCAUUGAUCGGCAAGAUUCACCAACAGCUGGUACAUUUGAAACAUGAAUAUCACUAAUUGAAUCAUCAUUUCCUUUCUUCAGUUUACUUGGUUGUUCCAUGAGUUGUACAUUAGGAUCUCUAGUUUGGACUGAAUCAACAGGUAAGUUUGAACUCUCAGCUGGAGCAUGAUUGGUUCUUGGUGAUCCAUCAGAAUCAUCACCACCAAAAGCCUUAUAGUCAUAAAGAUCACUGCCAGCAUAACCACUGCUCUCACUCAAUUUUCCACUGAUUACACGUUCAGCAUCAUCAUCAGUUUCUUGAUCAACUUCAUUUUCUGCAUCGUGAUAACCAUUUUCUUUCAAAUCCAUAUUUUCAUCAUCGGUUGAAUCUUCACUCCCACUGUUUUCUAUCCGAGAAUCAGCAGCGAUAGAGCAUCUAUGAAGAUUUUCAUCAUCAAAAAUAUUGUCAUGCUCCUCUAAAAGAGUUGCAAUGAUGGCUUGAGCAUUAUUAGCAGCAUUUGCAGCAGCAAGAAGCUGAGCAGAACUGUCACCAUUAAUAUCGAAGUCAUCUUCCAACUCACAUUCACCAGCUAAUAGAGGACGCAACAGCAAGGGUGCCAUGCAAGCAGCAACAGCAGAUGCAGUCAUUCGAUUUUCAUGAGCAUGAGAAGAGAUUGUAUGCAUCAUCUUCAGAAUUCUCUGUAAUAAACGUCGGUUUGGUUCAGGAAAUGUCUCCAAUAUUGCAGAGCGCAUUGCAUUAAUCUGAGCUUCCUUACGAUCAAUUUUAUAAGCCUCCAGCAAUGCAGUGCAGCAGGAUGCUGGAACUGGAGAGGAGGGCAGCUCCCUUAAGACAUGCUUUACACAAUCACCAACAACAUGAGCAUCUUCAUCUACUUCAAAUUCAGUCUUUCCUUGUUCAUAUUCUUGAACUCUACGUUCAACCUCCUCAACAUCAGCAGAUUGUCGCAAAAUUCCUUCGGUUUUAGUUCCAAAUUUCUCAAGAAAAUGAAGAGCUUUCUCAAGGAAUGAUGGACCUCCAUCAAUAUCUUCAAGGGCAAGCAAAAUUGGUCUUCCAACAACCAAUGAUUUAACAGGACGUUUAUCCCUCCAUUGAUGGAAAGACCCUUCAAUAACAUCAUUGGUAUCACUCCGGAAAAUUCCAUUAUGUCCCAUGACAAGGGCAGCACUUGGUGCUUGUGCCAGUGCAUGUUCCAGGGCUGUCUUCCACUCAUAUAAAUCCUCGGAAGUUUCAGCCUUGAGGGUGAAUGCUCGCCCAUCACGUCCAUCAGGAAACAAGACAGUUAACAACUUUUUAUCCUCCCUAACAACGACACUUCCUGAAUUGUUUAAAUCAAUUCCUCCCAAAGUUAAAUUUACUUCACCACCUCUUUGCGGUAAAGCACUAGGAUCAUUUUUAAAGAACACCAAGGAAGUGCGUGUCAAGAUAAACCACCGUUUCUUCCAUGAUUUCCAGCCUAAUCCUUUUGAAGAUAUGAAAAGCGGCCCACUCUUGAAAACCUUAUUGGAAGCUCCAGCUCUCGGCCGCUCGAAAGCAGCUAAAGAAGCCGACAUUGAACCUCGACUCAAACACAGUACUCCAGUACUUCCAAAUGCUUAUCACUGCAACUAACUAAAUCGCCUGAGUUCUCCAUUGAGUCAAUUUGCCGUACGGUGAUUGAUUAGAUCAAGGAGUUAACUCAAGAAUUGAGAGUCGGUUGAAGAUCUGGAGAAGCAGAUAAUGAAAUGUACCUAGGGUUUUUGAUUCGGUAGAUAGCCACUCAACAAGAACAAUAAAGAAGAAAAAGAACAAAAAAGCGGAGUCAUCAGUUGUUCUCCAAUCUUUAGAAUCUCCGCUUUUUUGCUGAAGUAACAAUUUAUAGCGAAGGCAAAUCGAUACCGAAGGAA
RNAcentral lists this unclassified non-coding RNA (4806 nucleotides) under Hevea brasiliensis (rubber tree). Lineage: Eukaryota; Viridiplantae; Streptophyta; Magnoliopsida; Malpighiales; Euphorbiaceae. The record is from RNAcentral.